Molecule: ribosomal RNA, 408 nt
Filed under: uncultured bacterium
Lineage: Bacteria
Description: partial 16S ribosomal RNA
Rfam family: Bacterial small subunit ribosomal RNA
Source: RNAcentral
GACGAACGCUGGCGGCGUGCUUAACACAUGCAAGUCGAACGAAGUGGCGAACGGGUGAGUAACGCGUAAUCAACCUGCCCUUCAGAGGGGGACAACAGUUGGAAACGGCUGCUAAUACCGCAUACUGAAGGAGUGGAUUGCGUCUGAUUAGCUAGUUGGAGGGGUAACGGCCCACCAAGGCGAUGAUCAGUAGCCGGGCUGAGAGGAGGAACGGCCACAUUGGGACUGAGAAACGGGCCAGACUCCUACGGGAGGCAGCAGGGGGGAAUCUUCCGCAAUGGGCGAAAGUCUGACGGAGCAACGCCGCGUGAGUGAUGACGGCCUUCGGGUUUUAAAGCUCUGUUAAUCGGGACGCGGUACCGGAAUAGAAAGCCACGGCUAACUACGUGCCAGCAGCCGCGGUAAUAC